Molecule: unclassified non-coding RNA, 442 nt
Filed under: Hevea brasiliensis (rubber tree)
Lineage: Eukaryota; Viridiplantae; Streptophyta; Magnoliopsida; Malpighiales; Euphorbiaceae
Source: RNAcentral
GGUGCCAUGUGGACCAAAGCAACCAAAUGCUGUCCAAAUUACAAUGCAGGAGCUGGCAGCAGAAGGACUAGCAGCCCAGAUUCUUCCCCCUCCCAUAUCAAGAACAGAUUUUGAUAAGAUCCUUGCAAGACAGAGGCCAACAGUGAGCAAAGCUGAUUUAGAAGUUCAUGAGCGUUUCACAAAGGAAUUUGGAGAGGAAGGGUAAUGAAUACGGUGAUAUGAUUGAUCCAUACUCGUGAGUUCAACUGCAACGAUUUGUAUUUUAGUUGUCACUGCUGGUUCCAAUGAAUUAUUAUUUUAGUUUUUCAUCAAAAGGGGGAAGCUGACUUGACUUUCCCUUUGUAUUACGAUUAUGAUGGGAAAACUGAGUUGGAUACUUGUUAAAUUGCUUGUUUCAAAUUUGUGUAAAGAAGAUUUCUAGAAAUAUCAUCGCAGAAUGUUA